GAUCUCAAAAUAAGGUCCCUAAAUAUAUACUAAGUGUAAGACAAGAAGGUGAGAUUUCUUAAACAAUGAGGAGGUUGGCUUAGAAGCAGCCAUCCUUUAAAGAUAGCGUAACAGCUCACUCAUCUAGAGAUUUUGCGUCGAAAAUAAUUGGGGCUAAGUAUAUUACCGAAUUUGAGGAUUUUAAUUGUCUUCGGACACCUAAAGUGGUAGGAGAGUGUUCCACUCUGCUGUGAAGGAGGACUCGUGAGAGCCUCUGGAGCGUGUGGAAGUAAGAAUGUUGGCACAAGUAACCGCAAUGGGGCUGAGAACGCCCCACGUCGAAAGAUCAAGGUUUCCUUGGUAAUGUCAAUCAGCCAAGGGUUAGUCGGGCCUAAGGGAAUGGCGAAAGCCGUACUCGAUGGACACAGGGUUAAUAUUCCCUGACUUUUGUAUUUAGUGACGGGAUGACGGAGUGAAAUAUGUAUCGCUCAUUAUUGGAUUUGAAGUUUGUGUAUUAGAGAUGACGUAUAGGAAAAUCCGUACGCUGCCUUCGAUGGCGAAUCUAGGAUACAUGAAAAGCUUACAGCUUCGGCUGUGAGUAAUGAUACAAAAUACGCUUCCAAGAAAACUCUCUAAACUUAUAAGUACAAGAUCCGUACCGCAAACCGACACAGGUGAUCAGGUCGAGUAGACCAAGACGAACGAGUGAGUGGUCCCCAAGGAACUCGGCAAAAAAGCAGCCGUAACUUCGGGAUAAGGCUUGCCCUCCAUUUAUUUGGAGGGCCGCAGCGAAAGUAUUUCUGGCAACUGUUUACCAAAAACACAGCUCCCUGCGAACUCGCAAGAGGAUGUAUAGGGGGUGACACCUGACCAAUGCCAGAAGGUCAAAUAUCGACGUUGCUAUCCGCAAGGGUAAUGGUGAUUGAUAUAAGCCCUGGUGAAUGUCGGCCGUAACUAUAACGGUCCUAAGGUUCUGUGCACAAUGCAAAUUGCGCGCGGAAUGACUGGGACCGGAAUAGAAAAAGGUAAAUAAUUAAAUUAAAAAAUUGUUAGACCAUUCGAAUGCUACCUUCCGUACAGUAAUGUGCGGGAAGUCAAAACUUGACUAACGAGAGACCAGCGUCAAGCAUCCUAACUCGAAAGAGUGGAUGAAGAUAGAGUCCUUCUUAGGUAUAGAAGAGCGAAAUACCUUGUCGGGUAAGUUCCGACGCGCACGAAUGGUGUAAUGACUGGAAAACUGUCUCGGGGACCAGCUCGGUGAAAAUACAAUACCGGUGAAGAUGCCGGUUACCUGCAGUUAGACGAAAAGACCCUAGAAGCUUUACUAUAACUUUAUAUUGAGCAUGUUUUUGAACUGCGUAGAAUAGAUGGGAGAGGUUAUGUGCACGAUCUCGGUUGUGUAAUACUCGUCAGUGAAAUACCAUUCUUUUCGGAGGCAUGUUCUAACCAAAGCGGCAAAAACGCUUUGAGACAGUAUAUGGUGGAUAGUUUUACUGGGGCUGUACCCUCCUAAAGAGUAAAGGAGGGGUUUAAAGGUCAGCUAGGCGCGAAUGGAAACCGUGCCGAUAGUGUAAUGGCACAAGCUGGCUUGAGUGUGAGACGUACAUGUCAAGCAUGUGGGAAACCAGAACAUAGUGAACCGACCUUUCGCAUUAGAUGCGGGGGGAGAUUAACGGAUAAAAGCUACUCUAGGGAUAACAGGCUAGUUCCGCCCAAGAGUUCAUAUCGACGGCGGAGUUCGGCACCUCGAUGUCGGCUCACCUUAGCGCGGCGGUGGAGAAGCUGCCAAGCGUUUGGCUGUUCGCCAAUUAAAAAGGUACGCGAGCUGGGUUCAGACCGUUGAGGAAUUAGGUUAUAGGUUUUAGUGAUUAGGUUCUAGUAUUUUUACUAGCACCUAGAAACUAAUACCUGACUACUGAUUCUUCGACAGUUUGAACCCUCAGAGGAAUUUGAACUUAUGAACUUAAGUAUUGAACUGUUUUAAUCGAAAUCAACCAAGCACAUUAAAUUGUGCACACGGCGGUCCUGAAUUUUUAAUUAUUCAGGAAGAAGUCGGGGUUUUCGGAGGAAUCCAAUCACGUGAUUCGCAAAACGAAUUUUACGCGAGGACAACACCGAGAAGAAGUAAGUUACUUCUUUGUAGAGACUACAAACCGGCCUUGUCGCAAGACAAGAAUGUAUAGUCCAAUCCCUUCAGUAAUGAAGGUUCAGCGUUUGUAGAACGCGGAAGUAAAAUCAAAUGCGUGAGACAGGUUGGUCUCCUAUCUACUGCAGGCGUUGAUUCUUGAGAAGAUUUGCUCCUAGUACGAGAGGACCGGAGUGAACUGACCUCUGGUGUACGAGCUCUACUGCCAAGUGGAAUGCUCGGUAGCUAUGUCGGGAAUGGAUAACCUCUGAAAGCAUCUAAGAGGGAAGCCAGCUUCAAGAUUAGGAAUCGUUAAGAACCGUAAGAGAUGAUUACGUUGAUAGGCUUUAAGUGUAAGUGCAGUAAUGUGCUGAGCUGAGAAGUACUAAUGUUUCGAUUCCUGUUAAGAA
RNAcentral lists this ribosomal RNA (2514 nucleotides) under Minisyncoccota bacterium. RNAcentral describes it as "partial 23S ribosomal RNA". It matches the Rfam family "Bacterial large subunit ribosomal RNA", at positions 1030 to 2925 of the family's 2925-position model. Lineage: Bacteria; Bacillati; Minisyncoccota. The record is from RNAcentral.